UACAGAGGGUGCGAGCGUUAUCCGGAAUUACUGGGUUUAAAGGGUGCGUAGGCGGCUAUGUAAGUCAGGAGUGAAAGUUUGCGGCUCAACCGUAAAAUUGCUUUUGAUACUGCAUGGCUAGAAUUAGGAUGAGGUCAGCGGAAUGUGGCAUGUAGCGGUGAAAUGCAUAGAUAUGCCAUAGAACACCAAUUGCGAAGGCAGCUGGCUAGACCUGGAUUGACGCUGAGGCACGAAAGCGUGGGGAGCGAACAGG
This 253-nucleotide ribosomal RNA is filed under the name uncultured bacterium. Its description in RNAcentral is "partial 16S ribosomal RNA". It matches the Rfam family "Bacterial small subunit ribosomal RNA", at positions 524 to 776 of the family's 1533-position model. The record is from RNAcentral.